RNAcentral lists this ribosomal RNA (253 nucleotides) under uncultured bacterium. RNAcentral's name for it is "partial 16S ribosomal RNA". It matches the Rfam family "Bacterial small subunit ribosomal RNA", at positions 524 to 776 of the family's 1533-position model. The record is from RNAcentral.
UACGUAGGGUGCAAGCGUUAUCCGGAAUCACUGGGCGUAAAGCGCGCGCAGGCGGCGGUGCUGGCCCGGCGUGAAAGCCCCCGGCUCAACCGGGGAGGGUCGUCGGGGACCGCACCGCUUGAGGGCGGUAGGGGCUGGUGGAAUGCCUGGUGUAGUGGUGAAAUGCGUAGAGAUCAGGCGGAACACCCGUGGCGAAGGCGGCCAGCUGGGCCGUCCCUGACGCUGAGGCGCGAAGGCGUGGGGAGCAAACAGG